AGACGCGCGGAGGGAGGCGGCCAAGCGGCGCGGGCGGCUCUGCGGCGGGCGCGGUGGGCGCGGGCGGCGGGGCCCCGGGAUCCCCGCCCGCCUCCUCGGCGCGGCGCCGUCGCCGCGCGUCCCCACGCCCCGCGCUCCACGGCGCCCUCGCCCCGCGCGCCUCCCGCGCCCGCCUCCUGCCGGCCUCCCGCGCCGCGGCCGUCUGCGGAGCGAGCGCUCAGACGGAGUCCCCGGCCAACUUGAGCGGCGCCGAGCGGCAGCGGAGUCCCCGGCAGAGCCCCCCGGCCCAGUGGCGCGCGGAGGGGACCUGCGGCCGCCAGCGUCGCCUCUGCCCGCACCCCCGGACCUCGCCGCUCCCUCGGCGCGGGGCUCGGGCCGGUGCGAGAGCCGCGCCGCGAGACACGCACCGUGCGCGGCGGCGCCGCCCGCCUCCCUCUUCGCCGCCCCGGAGGGCGAAGCCGCCGCUCCCCCGACCCUCGCCGCGCGGCCGCGGCGCUGGAGCGCGCCCCUUCCGGGCCGGCAGCGGGCGCCCCCGCCUCGCAGCCGCCUUCGCCGGGUCGCCCCCGGAGGGGGCCGCGAGCUCCGCGCCCGGGCCGGAGGAUGUGCGCCCCCGCGGGCCGCCCCGCCUGAACCAUGCGCCCCAACGGCGGCGGCGCGCCGGCCGGCAUGGAGCCCCGCGCGGCCGCGCUCUGACUCGCUCUGCGCCCCGCGGCCGGCGGGCGGCGGGCGGCGGGCAGCGGGCGGCGGCGGACCGAAAGCCGGAGACCGGCGCCGCGGGACGGAAGCGAGCGGGCGCGGGCGCCGCGCAGAUGGCCGGGGCGAGCGAGAUCUGAGUCUCUGCUCCCCGAAACGUGACCAUGUGGAUUCAACAGCUUUUAGGACUCAGUUCCAUGUUCAUCCGCUGGCCCGGCUGCUCUCUAGGAAGCCAUGCUUGGAUCCUUAUAGCCAUGUUUCAGCUCGCCCUGGAUCUGCCCGCGUGUGAGUCCCUGGGCCCGGGCCCCGACUUCCGGCUGCUGCCCCGGCUGCCCCACCGGCCGCCCCGCUUGUGGAGUUUUAAGAGCGGACAGCCCGCCCGGGUCCCAGCGCCCGUGUGGAGCCCCCGGCCGCCCCGCUUGGAGCGUGGUCACAGUCACGGGCAGAUGCUGAGUCCCCGGGCCCGACGGGCGCACAGACCCAGGGACCAGGUGGCCACUCUGGGGCCCAAAGGGGGGCUGGCCAAGCCCCCAGCUGCUGCCAAAUCCAGCCCUUCCCUGGGCCCCUCCUCCUCUGCGGGGGGCAGUGGAGCUCCCACGGACCAGCAGGCCCUCCUGCGGCGGGGGAAGAGGCACCUGCAGGGGCCCGCCUUCAACAGCUUUGACUUCCAAGGCAGCAGGCCCACCACGGAGACGGAGUUCAUUGCCUGGGGGCCCACGGGGGAGGAGGAGGCCCCGGAAUCCAAUACAUUUCCAGGCGUUUAUGGCCCCACCACGGUCUCCAUCUUCCAAACACAGAAGACAGCUGUGGCCACUGCCACCGCCACCGCCACCACGGCCACCUCCGUGACACUGCAGACUCAGGGGCUCACCGAGCCCCUGGACCCCAGGAGUGGGAAACCGGUUGGGGUAAGCACAACGGAGCCUUCCACCAGCCCCAGCAGAGACAGUGGCAAAGUCAGCAAGCCCCCGCGGGUUCUGGGGGAGACCUCAGGUUUGGCGGUCCAUCAGAUCAUCACCAUCACCGUCUCCCUCAUCAUGGUCAUAGCUGCUCUGAUUACAACUCUUGUCUUAAAAAACUGCUGCGCCCAGAGCGGGAACCCUCGCAGGAACAGCCACCAGCGGAAGGCAAACCAUCAGGAGGAGAGCUGCCAGAACCUGACGGACUUCACGACCGCCCGGGUGCCCAGCAGCCUGGACAUCUUCACGGCCUAUAACGAAACCCUCCAGUGUUCACACGAGUGUGUCCGGGCGUCUGUGCCCGUGUACACCGACGAGACACUGCACCCAGCCGGGGAGUACAAAUCCACGUUUAACGGGAACCGACCCUCUUCUUCUGAUCGGCAUCUUAUUCCUGUGGCCUUUGUGUCUGAGAAAUGGUUUGAAAUCUCCUGCUGACUGGCCGAAGGCUUUUUUACCUCCUGGGGGCAGGGCAGACGCCAUGUGUCUGUUUUAUGGAUUCCGUUGGUGAACCUGUAAAAAAAAAAAAAAAAUUACAAAUUACAAAAAAACACAAAACCUAAAACUAAACUAUCUAAGGGGAGUGUCCCCACAUCUACCACUUCUGUUUGCCGGUGGGGAACUCACAGAGCAGGACGCUAUAGGCCAAAUAUAUUUUUAUAAAAAUGCCGACGCCUAUGGGGAACUGCCUUCUCCGAGAGCUUCUUUGGGGAACAGAAAGAAGAUGGUCCAAGAGAAAGAGCUGGAGACAGAGAAAGGGCAGGAGGACACACCGGAAGCUGGGAUUUGUACUGCGAUUUUGAACCUGUGCCAAUAAUACCAUUAUGUGCCAUGUACUGACCCGAGAGACUUGGUGACAAAGCCGACGCCAAGCAAACCGCGAGGAGAAAUCUUACAGAAAACAGGAGCGGGCAUCUCUUCCGACAGAGCUGCUCUUUCUGGUUAAUGUACAUAUAUAAAUAUAUAAAGACACACACACACACACACACACACACACACACACACACACACCCCUUUUUUGUACUGUAGCAAUUUUUGAAGACCUUCAAUGUUCCUUUUUAAAGAAAAAAUGUGUUCUCGGUCACAAAAUCUGAUUUCUUUAACAUGCUUAGUAUGAACAGAACGAACUGGUGUUUUCUACUUCGCAAACACACACAGGCAUACAUGUGCAUACACACACACGUACGCACAUAUAUAUGCAUAUAUCGGAAAUGCAGUUCCGCGAGCGAGCGUCUUCUUCCUGGUGACCUGGUGUCCCACUGCCAUCCGUGCCAGGUGGCCUUGAUGCACGCCAACUGGCCCUUGAAUGGCAGGUCCUGCGUUUGCUAGGCGUUUGGUGAGUGGCGCGAUGUGUGAUUUAUUAUCUUGGGCCAGAACGAAGAAUGCCAUGGUUUUAUAUACAUCCAUACAUAUACGUAAUCUGUAUACACAUAAAUACGAUCUUUUUUCAUUGAAUUGUUUGAAGAAGCUACCUAAUAGCCAUGUGCACACGUGUGUGGCCAGCCACCUACAGAUGGGCCUGAGUGGCAGAUUGGUGGGGGCUGGUGGAUCUUGGCCAUCUUUGUGUUAUACAGGCAUAGACCGAAUUAAAGAAAUUUUCCAGUUGCAAAAAUUAAAGGAAUAGAUCCUUGUAAUGUGUGUGCAUAUGUCAGAGCAGAACUCAGAAAUAUGUGAGCUCCCCGUUCGUUUGGCAAGGAGGGUCAGUGUACUCUGCAUUUCUUUCCCACAUGUUGGCACUCAGAGGUUGCCUGCUCUUUCUUGAGCCCACUAGUGACUUUAAAUUUUGGUGCACAUGGUGGCAAAGAUGCUGUCUCUUGUCGGCUCCCUUGGUCAACCUGUGUGCUCUACCAUCGAGAAUUCUACUGUGGAGCCUCCCAGUGGAAAUAGGGGCCCAGACAGGAGUCUCCUUACAGAGGAUCCCAACCACACACUUCACUGAAAAUACUCCCUGCCAGCCCUCACCUUACAAAGGCGCCCUGAUGCCCCAUCGUGUGGUUAGUGGGGGGCGCUGUAAGGGAUGGGGGUGUCUAUCUGGGCUUCAUGCUUCCCAGUUAGACAGAGGGCGUGUCCUCCUUCUGGGGACCCCAGAUUCGGUGCACAUGGCCUGUCUCCUAUGAGUGAUUUCAGCAGUAGGGCUUGCAAUGCCACAGACCAGGUUGGCAGGCAGGGAACUAACUCCCCCCACCGCCCUCCCACUUAUUGGUCAGGCCGGUGACCCGAUUCUUCCACCAGGCUCCCUCUGCAACACCUUGAAAUGUGCUUGAAAAGUUGGCUUUGGUACCUUUUGAAAUAUGGGAGAGUGAAAUGAUGCCAGUGGAGGGAAAACCUCAUUUUUGUCACACCCAUUAAGAUUGGUAUUGGUGAUAACUGCUCCAAAAGUAGGAUUUUUGGUUUUCGUUUUGUCACUUCCCAUCUCCCCGCAAAGCUUGAACAGGACGCAGCAAACAUCCAUCCCUGACAUCCAUCGCCUCCAGGCUCUAGACUCACUGCACGGCCUGCGCUCCACUCUCUACCCGGCAUCCAGCUCACACAUCAUUAUCCUCGGGUCACUCUCCCACUGGAGGGCGGCUCUGGGGCCUUCCUGACUCAGGUGAGCACAGCGUGGUGUGAGCACCAGCUGAGGGCUGUCAGCAUCCUUCAGGGCCGAGGGACCUGCUGCUCUGUGUCAGAUGCUCUGAGACGAAGGUGGUGGCUGAGGGGCCUGUUCUACCACUGACAGCAGAUCCUGGGAUUCCUGCAGGGAUGCAGCUCAGCGACUACUGCGUCGCCUCUGACUGCAGCUCGGCCCUUUCCCCGGACCUCAGGCUGCCCUCAGGAUGCCUGAGCACCAGGUGGUACCGAGCUUUGCAAGGAACCUGAGAAUAACGACCCCCUCCCGCCCCCAACACACACACACACACACACACACACACACACACACACACACGCCCCUUGGCUCACGCCCAGGGCAGGGCUGGGGGACACACAUACGGCCACCAGACAAGCCACACUUGCAGUUCCCCACCGGGAAGUCUAACAUCUGUCGAGACAAAUCCACUUUGGGGAAAGCUACCAUUUCAUGAUGAUUGAGGAAGUGUGUGUAGAGAUGUUUUAUUUUAUUUUUUUAAUGGUUACCUGGAAACAUGAUCUCUAUACAAAGAGAUAACAAAUGAAAGUGAGCAGGCUUACAAAACUCAGCUCCACCCACAGUCAAGUCUAUGAAACAAUACAAUAUGGUAUUUUUCCUGAAUCAGGCCCCGUGUACACGUGUCCAAGCAUUGCAUGUAUCUGUGUCUGAUGAGUUUGACCCAGCCACCCUUCCUCAGCCCUGGGGUGUUGUCCUGGGUCAGUCAGUGUUCCCUCUUCUAGGCUCCUUGGAUUUCAGAAUCCAUCAGCGAUCCCUCUGUGAUCAACCUCAGAGCUGUAACUUCUUAGGCCCCAGGGCCCCAGUUCGUACAUUUGCUUUAGCUUUUUGUUUUUUUCUUCUUCAAGAAAGGUAUUCAAAGGAAGGUACUCACCAUAUUGUUUGGUGAGGUCCACAAAGACGUGUCCACCUCCAUCUUAUCCCCUCAGGGAGUCUGAAACCCCACAGUCAUCAGCCCCUGGGCAGCACAUCACCUCUGUCCCUUGCCUACCUAUCGACUCUUAAAACUUUUAAAACAACAGGGCUUGGCUUUCAGGAGCUCUCUGCUGUGUGGUCAAGUCUAUUUCUAGGCUUAAUCACUUCUGUGUGUACUUGACGCCAUUUUUAUCUGGUUGAAAUAACGAGUGUAAUUCCUUUCAGUUACAAGUUCUGAGUGCCAUGGGGAAGUUGCUCCAGGCAAGAUCAGGAAAGCCUCCUGACCUUUUCCUACCAGACUCAGAGUCCAGCAGUGUCAAAGGAGAGGCCACUUAGGAAGCCAUGUUUUCUCCGAAGUGUUUCCAGUCCUUCCCAGUCCUGAGUGCGGGUGGACUUCUUGGGCUGCCUUCAACUCCCAGACAUUCAUCUCGGUCCUCCACGGAACAUUUUAAACUUAGAAGCCUACACUCAUCAGCAGAUCCCGCCACCUCUCUGAAUUUGACCACCAGGAAUUCAGUAAUUACUGCAGGGACCUUGCCCUCUUCAAACAUUCUUACUUCGGACAAGUUUGUUACUCUUUCUCAGCCACAUUUCAACAUCAAUCAGAACUUUCCUUACAGGUUUUGGUCUUCAGGAAUUCUGUGUGUGGAUGUCCACUCCCGUGUGUUAGCUCAUGAAAUGGACACACUAGAAAAUAGACCCUUUUGCCCUGUGUGGUCUCUAUUUGACUCUAUUGCCCAUAGAGAUAUUCCAUCUCUUUCGCUUCUUCUCCCAGAUGGUUCAGCAUGAUCAGUAGCUCAAGAUGCUUAUCUUGGAAGAUAAUAAGAGGAACCGGGGCUGAGGUUCAGGGCUGGGACCAGCAGCUCUUUUAUGGUCAGGCUGGAUCUUCUCAUACCUUUCAUUUCAAAACGGCAUGCGUACACACUUUUUCUUUGUCUACAUUUUGACACUCUUUCAUCAGGGAGAUCUCAGCCUAAGUGAGUCUCGACAUUCCACUGGGCUCUCUUUCCCUUGCUCUUCCAAGGAGCUAUUGCACAAGUUAGGAUGGGAAAAGAUACUGAGUUCUGUUGAGAUUCAGCUGUCGUUCUUGCUGCAGCAUGGGGGUUCUUUAAGAAGGCACUACUCCUAUAUGCACUUAGGAGAGAAACAUCUCUUUGUGCCUCCUGCAAUUAGCUGAAAAUCCAUCCAUCUGCUUAUUCAGCAGACUUGUUGAUCUUCUGCCAUGUUGGUGAUCAGUGAGGAGCAAGAUGGACAUGGUCCUGCCCCUGUGGGUUUUACUUUCUGUGCCAGAUAGAGGAAGACAAUUGACACAGAGCAAACAAUAAUUUCGAUAGAACGAUGAGUGAUAGGAAGGCAGCAGAGCAGAAUGAUAGGAAAGAAAGAAAGAGAAAUGGUAGUUGUCUGGGUUUCUUCAUCUGGCCAUCAUUUCCAACUGGGAAAUCAUCACUUGCUUCCUGAAGGUCGGUCUGAGAUUGAGGGAGCAAGAACACCUUACUCUUAUUUCCUGGAUAAAAAUGCAGUGCCAAGGAAUAAGAUGUCCUAGUCAUGACAAGCUCUUCCACCCCUCAGUCAUUCUAGCAAGGAGUGACACGGCAGGGGAAACAGAGAGAUGGGAUCAGGAUGAGGUAUGUCACCCAGGUGAUGAACUGGGUCUCCUCCUGGAUGGCUGUCCCCCUCUCUCCCAGGUCCCCUCCCCAUCCCUAGGUUGUCAAGUCACCAUUAGGUCAACCAGGUCUCAAGGAGGACAAAGGAAUUCAAAGACAAAGAGGAGGCGCACUGGACACCAGGGGCCCCAGGGAGAGCCACCCCUCCUCAUUAGAGAAGGCAGCUGCCUUUUCCAAAGUUCAACCUCAAUACAGAACAUAUUCAGUAACAUACUUCUUAAACAACAUCUGCUUUUAUUCCAAAACACGCUAUGAUUCAUGUAAUUUUGGAGUGGUUACUUCGGUGCAGUUUGUCAAUUUCCUAUGCCGUACUGUUUUUUGAUAGUUUGUUUGUUUUCCAAUGUAAAUAGCACAGCCUACAUAAAUGAGCCAAACUCUCACCAUCUGAGAAUCUUUGAUUAUUCUUCCCAACUUGUGCUUUUUCGCCUACUCUGAGCCAAGAUCUCUGUGUUAGUUACACUCAGCGUUAUUACUGGGGCUUCCAUCCAGGUCUUAAAUGAUUGAUUGCCAUUUUGAAAUAUGCUUCCAGCCCUUCAUUCCAAAAACUGUAAGGCAUGGUUGGGCAGUUUUGCAUUUCUGGGUUUCGAGUUUGCAUUUGAAUGUAAAGAGUGGGCUAAACAGAGGUGUAGGGAGAGAAGCAAUAUUUUUAGAUCACCCCACCCACUAAACAAACAGAAAGAUUGAGCUUCUUUGGACCACAAAUGAUUCUAGAAAGAUACCAGCCAGCAAGCCUACUAUAGCUAAACUCCAGAGUUCGAAUCGGUCAUCAUGUGAGCAUGCAAGUAAGAAAUUUAACUAUGGGCCAGUCUCUCUUUAUGCCAAAGGGGCAGCUGUAACAUUUGCACUUUGUCAGGGGAGCAGCCCCGCCAGAGCAGCCAGCCUCCCAGGGUAGGGGGUGGGCUCACACGUACCCCCUUCCACUCUGCUUCACUGUAGUUGAGUAGGUUCAACAGCUAGUCUGCACUGAUGAGAAAGCUGUGCACACAACGGGACCAAGAAUAUGAAAGGGCAAGGAGAAGGCAGGUGAGAUGCUUGUGUGGGCUCUUGAAGGCAGUAGUACAUGGACAGCGGGGGGUUGGGGACGAGGGCCUUCUCUCCAUGCAUUCCCAGACACCACGACAGCGACAAGUCCACACUUCACACUUGCAAACGCAUGGCCCACACCCAACUGUAAAGGCAACUGAAGAGCAUGGUCAUCUGGGUUAUAAUAUGUGUCUGUGUUGGAGCUGGAAUGCUAACAUCAAUCCUUCCAGGAGCCCCAUUGCGUUUCCCACUUGAUGGUUUCCCUGUUAAAUGCUCCAAGAGUUACUGGGCGUAGCAUCAAGAGGGUAGUUUUGAAUGAAUCCAUAAAUCUAAGUCUUAUAUGGAACAGCCUCAGCUUAAGAGGGGGGUAUAAACUGGGCCAGCCCUGCCAUCAGGGACACAAAGCUUUAUAAGCACUUAGGGUGGGGGGAGUGUAAAUAGCUGGUGAGUAGUGGGGGAAGGGUCAGUGAACCUGUAAAUGGCCCUGUUAUCUCUUCCAUGUAGGUAGGAAUCAGAACACACAUGUACCAUGGAGCACAUAAAUUGAAUGGGUUAAUAGAAUAAGCCCAGAGGGUUGCUAAGACAUCCCCUGGGGCUGAAUUAACUCUUGCUCCUAUCUUGAAUCUCAAAGUAAAAUAUCUGCUGAGUCAUGGAAUGGACGCAGAGAAGGUCAGGUUGUAGGAAACCCUUCUUCAUAAAGUUAAUUAUUUUUUCCUAGGUGGUCUCUGUCUUAAAAAUAAAAUCCCCUGGAGACCUGGAUUCUUAUCAACACCCAAAUAUUUGCAACACCAAAUAACUCCCCAGAAGCUUCAUUCGUAUGUGGACUGUCCACACUGGUGGGGUUCUGUCGGACUUUUGAAAUUCUGCAGUAGAUUCUUCAGUGUUGAUGUUUGUAGCUUUGGGAUUGGUGAACUGGCAGUUCACGCCAGUCUUACUGACUGUGGCAAGUUAUUGCUUCCAGAGAAGUGGGGAGAACUUUUUUCAUGGGAGAAAUGAAUCUUAAGUUCUAGUUUUGGGCAUCAUCAUGUACCACAAAGACUUGUUGCCACUAAAAGUCUGGGAUGGGGAACACUCUGAGGACCCCCGAUACAAUUGUUUCAAGUCACCACGCAGGAAACUACAAGAACGACCACCAUUGUCCCAAGCCAAAAGGGACACUUUCAAAGCCAUUGUGACACCCCAAACCCAAUUUCCAGCCUUUGGGGGAUUAAUUGGAGUAGGAGAGAGGGGUUUUUCUGAAGUUUUAGGUUGCUGGAAUCCACAUAGCAGUAGAGCAGUGAACCAAUAGCAUUGUUCUUGACAAGGUUUCGUGUGGCAGUGGCUACCACCAGAAAGAACUCUCUCCCUCUGCCUCCAAAGGCUAUUUUAGGCUGGACUCCACUCUGUAUUAUCUCUCCCUUAGGCUUAUGGAUUUCUAACAUCAAGUGUUGUUGUGACUGCCUACAACUUAAGGUCUACAAGGCAACGUGAGUAUUGUUUUCAUGAUGAACUUACAGCAAGUAGACAUGAACUGACAUGAAAGUUCUGGAAAGGAGAGAUUUCUAAGGCACUGUUAAGUAUUGUGCCAUUUCCACAUACAAGCACAACUGCCAGUCAAGGGCCUUAAAGACAGGGAUGGGUGGCUGGUUUUGAAAAGUCAGCACGCUUUACAGAGCCCACCUGUGGCCACACACGCCUUGAGUUGAACUGUCAUGUCCUACAGAAAACACAUUUUGUUUCAUUACUUUUGUUCUUUUGCUUUUCAUGUGUAUUUGGGUUGCUUCCUCUGAAGCCAGAAGGGUGAAAGGACUUGAACAAAAUCGGUUCUCAGUCGACUGACCAUAAAUUUGAUCCUUUGAUGAAUUCCCAGCACAAGAUGACAUGGAAUGACUUGGGGUUCAGCAAAGGUUUCAGAGAUGCAUAUGUGUUCUGCUUGGUGGGAAGAUGAGCACUGUCCAUGGCAUUUGCUGCUCCCUGAGAUGUUCUCCAGUAGUGGGGAGAGGAGAUGUGGGAACUUGCAAAGUUUGGGAAUGAAACGUUGAGAUUUCGGGAAAAUAUUGUAAUCAGUUUGGGGUUCUGGAUAAUUGGUUUCUUAAAAACUAGAGAGUGUUGUGGUUUUUUUUUUUUUCUUU
This is an RNA transcript of Orcinus orca (killer whale), 9988 nucleotides long. It is a transcript of the gene named adherens junctions associated protein 1, with no coding region annotated. The record is from RefSeq and is a predicted model, not a curated record. NCBI's taxonomy places the organism in Eukaryota, Metazoa, Chordata, Mammalia, Artiodactyla, Delphinidae. The transcript is spliced from 6 exons.